UGGGUAGUCCGCACGAGCGCACCCUAUCCUUAUUUGCCAGCACGUAAUGGUGGGAACUCUAGGGAGACUGCCGGUGAUAAACCGGAGGAAGGUGGGGACGACGUCAAGUCAUCAUGGCCCUUACGAGUAGGGCUACACACGUGCUACAAUGGCGUAUACAGAGGGUUGCAAAGCCGCGAGGUGGAGCUAAUCUCACAAAGUACGUCGUAGUCCGGAUCGGAGUCUGCAACUCGACUCCGUGAAGUCGGAAUCGCUAGUAAUCGUGGAUCAGAAUGCCACGGUGAAUACGUUCCCGGGCCUUGUACACACCGCCCGUCACACCAUGGGAGUGGGCUGCAAAAGAAGUGGGUAGUUUAACCUUCGGGAGAACGCUCACCACUUUAUGGUUCAUGACUGGGGUGAAGUCGUAACAAGGUAGCCCUAGGGGAACCUGGGGCUGGAUCACCUCCUU
RNAcentral lists this ribosomal RNA (451 nucleotides) under uncultured Shewanellaceae bacterium. Its description in RNAcentral is "bacterial SSU rRNA". It matches the Rfam family "Bacterial small subunit ribosomal RNA", at positions 1077 to 1532 of the family's 1533-position model. The record is from RNAcentral. Lineage: Bacteria; Pseudomonadati; Pseudomonadota; Gammaproteobacteria; Alteromonadales; Shewanellaceae.